ACAGGCUGCCAGCUGUGUUUCCUCAGCUGCAGUGCAAGUGGGGCAUGCUCCGUUGAGACUUUAUUCACUCUGGGCAGUUUGUUGAAGAUUAGGUGGUCAGCUCACAAUGAAUCAUAAGCUGCUUUUGUCCCUUGCUGUCUAUGCUUAGAAGCUAAAAGGUUAAGCAGCGAUGUCAGCGCUAUCAGGGAGCUGUGGAGACUGGAAUUGAAGUUCAGAACCUUUCAUGGGAGACAGCUCAGAGAUGACCUACCCAUAGAAGAGAAAUCUGGCAGUCUGGCCACAGCAGCUUUGCUGACCUGCAGUGGGAUCCGACCAGUUGGAACUUCCCAGCGGCUUUGUUUACACUGUGAGCUGUGGAGCAUAAAACUGCCUACUCAAGCCUCAGCAAUGGUGGACGCCCC
This 401-nucleotide long non-coding RNA is filed under the name Homo sapiens (human). RNAcentral's name for it is "HSALNT0335188". Lineage: Eukaryota; Metazoa; Chordata; Mammalia; Primates; Hominidae. The record is from RNAcentral.